UCGUUGUCAUUCUCUUCAAUGGAGGGUAGAUUUCCUCCUCUUGAGAGAGGAGCAGUCGUCCUUCCCAUUUCUCUUCUCCAAAAACGCUCAGCACUCCACCCUUUACAAACCUGAUCAUUCGUCCACCUUCCUAAGAAAGGAUCAUCAUCCUAGAAUUUCAAAAAGAAAGCUGAUAGCAUUCCACUCCAUUAACAACCUCCAGUUGCCACCCCAAGAAAAGGGAACGAACAACAGCUGCAAAAAAAAAUAGGAACGAAGGCGACAUAGUUUUGGGAUUGAACAACUUGAAUUUUCUGGUAAUGUAUUUUAAUGUAUCUCGCUGUAUUCCAUGUAUUUCUUUGUAUUCAG
This 348-nucleotide long non-coding RNA is filed under the name Nicotiana benthamiana. Its description in RNAcentral is "long non-coding RNA (NBEN_LNC033061)". The record is from RNAcentral. Lineage: Eukaryota; Viridiplantae; Streptophyta; Magnoliopsida; Solanales; Solanaceae.